UGGGGAAUAUUGGGCAAUGGGGGAAACCCUGACCCAGCAACGCCGCGUGAAGGAAGAAGGCCUUCGGGUUGUAAACUUCUUUGACACGGGAAGAAACAAAUGACGGUACCGUGAAAACAAGCCACGGCUAACUACGUGCCAGCAGCCGCGGUAAUACGUAGGUGGCGAGCGUUGUCCGGAUUUACUGGGUGUAAAGGGCGUGUAGGCGGGAUUGCAAGUCAGAUGUGAAAUCCACAGGCUUAACCUGUGGACUGCAUUUGAAACUGCAAUUCUUGAGUGAUGGAGAGGCAGGCGGAAUUCCCGGUGUAGCGGUGGAAUGCGUAGAUAUCGGGAGGAACACCAGUGGCGAAGGCGGUCUGCUGGACAUUAACUGACGCUGAGGCGCGAAAGCGUGGGGAGCAAACA
This is a ribosomal RNA of 405 nucleotides. It matches the Rfam family "Bacterial small subunit ribosomal RNA", at positions 355 to 774 of the family's 1533-position model.